Molecule: long non-coding RNA, 1309 nt
Filed under: Mus musculus (house mouse)
Lineage: Eukaryota; Metazoa; Chordata; Mammalia; Rodentia; Muridae
Description: predicted gene 10732 (Gm10732)
Source: RNAcentral
GGUUCCUUGAGGUUUGGAGUGUGGUGUUUCACUUUCAAGCUCUUCUUCUGUGGGAACUAUUACUCUGCGAUGAGAUUAUAGAGAGGACUCUCAUGACCACUGCAGGCUUCUAGAAGUACUGAGUCAGGAAUAAAUUCAAAAUGCUUUUGUAAAUGGAAGGCUUCUUCGUUGGUCAGCAAAGAAAGGCACUGAGGUCCUCUGCUUACAAAAAGCAAUCGGAAAGCACGAUGUAUUUUCCCACUGCCAUCAGAGUUGAUGAAAGGCUCUAACCAAAACUGACAGAAGCUGGAGAGAAGGAAGGCUAGAAGUCUGGGAGGAGUUGUCGGUUUUGACUUGGACCUCGCCACUUUAUUCUGAGUGGUUUUCUUGGACUAGCUACUAAUAUUCUCCGGUCUCCGAUUUUUCACACUUAAAAUGAGGAUAAUACAAUACGCUCCUUUUGAAAGUCACGAAAAUGAAAUCCCCAUAUAAUACCAUAAUGAGAAGAGGUCUCUCUGUGUAGCCCUGGCUGUCCUGAAGCUUGCUCUGUAUACUCUACUAUUGGCUUUUAACAUUUUGCAGAGUACCUUCCUGUAACAAAGAUGCUAAUAUCAAGGUGUGAAGGCUCUCUGUAGACACCCGUUCAACGUCUCCAUGAUUAUUGAACUCCUCCUCGGCUGAAGUCACCUUUUGGUCUAUUGCCUCUCUAAUGGAUCCUGGGAAAGAAGACUUUCCCGACAUAUGCUCCCCCCCCCCCCGGCCCGCCCACCCCAGCUACACACGCACAAGCUGAAGAGUUUGCACCUAUCUCGCAGUGAAUGGAAUGAGCACUGGCUUUUGUAAGGGCUGGGGAAAUGGAAAACUUCGCUGCCUACAACCCGGGUCCUGAAGCUUUUAAUCUGGUUUGCCUUGAGAAAACUCUUCAAAGAAGUGUGCUGGUAUAAGGAAGACAUUUAACUAGGAUUCCUCCACCCUCUUCCAGGCAAUCAGUUCUCUGCAUGCCUGUCAUUCAGAGUCAAUCAAGUCUUGAGAUAAAAGACACCAGACUCUAGAUGCCUUCGGACACAAACAGGCUUUCUAGUAAAGCUGGGUCCCUGUGUUUCAGCUACUUGCGCAGCAUGUGACACCGUUGCUGCGAAAUUGGAAGCUAUUGUAAUGUACAAGAAACAAAGCAGCAAGAGCUGUUUACACAAUACUCUCCAUUAGAUUUGUAUCGCAUGUUUUCAAAACUGUUCUGGGUGUUCUGCAGCCUCAGCAGUGUGUUGAUUUCUAGGCCGCUUUCUCAUAAAUUAAAUAAAAUAAAUUAAAUAAAUUAAUAAAUUAAAACAGA